This 405-nucleotide ribosomal RNA is filed under the name Candidatus Omnitrophota bacterium. RNAcentral's name for it is "Candidatus Omnitrophica bacterium (sediment metagenome) partial 23S ribosomal RNA". It matches the Rfam family "Bacterial large subunit ribosomal RNA", at positions 2523 to 2925 of the family's 2925-position model. The record is from RNAcentral. Lineage: Bacteria; Pseudomonadati; Candidatus Omnitrophota.
ACCUCGAUGUCGGCUCAUCCUAUCCUGGGGCUGUAUAAAGUCCCAAGGGUCCGGCUGUUCGCCGGUUAAAAGGGUACGUGAGCUGGGUUUAGAACGUCGUGAGACAGUUCGGUCUCUAUCUGGUGUGGGCGCACGAUGAUUGAAGGGAAGAUCUCCUUAGUACGAGAGGACCGGGAGAUACGAACCUCUGGUGUACCAGUUGUCCUGCCAAGGGCAAUGGCUGGGUAGCCAAGUUCGGAAGGGAUAAGCGCUGAAUGCAUAUAAGUACGAAGCCCCUCCUAAGAUGAAUCAUCGAUUACCUUCGGGUAUGAAGGCACGUUGUAGACUACGACGUUGAUAGGCUGUGAGUGUAAGACUCGUAAGAGUUUAAGCUAAACAGUACUAAUCUGCCGAAUGCUUGAUCUU